GGGUUGUGAGGUUAAGCGACUAAGCGUACACGGUGGAUGCCCUGGCAGUCAGAGGCGAUGAAGGACGUGCUAAUCUGCGAUAAGCGUCGGUAAGGUGAUAUGAACCGUUAUAACCGGCGAUUUCCGAAUGGGGAAACCCAGUGUGAUUCGUCACACUAUCAUUAACUGAAUCCAUAGGUUAAUGAGGCGAACCGGGGGAACUGAAACAUCUAAGUACCCCGAGGAAAAGAAAUCAACCGAGAUUCCCCCAGUAGCGGCGAGCGAACGGGGAGCAGCCCAGAGCCUGAAUCAGUGUGUGUGUUAGUGGAAGCGUCUGGAAAGGCGUGCGAUACAGGGUGACAGCCCCGUACACAAAAAUGCACAUGCUGUGAGCUCGAUGAGUAGGGCGGGACACGUGGUAUCCUGUCUGAAUAUGGGGGGACCAUCCUCCAAGGCUAAAUACUCCUGACUGACCGAUAGUGAACCAGUACCGUGAGGGAAAGGCGAAAAGAACCCCGGCGAGGGGAGUGAAAAAGAACCUGAAACCGUGUACGUACAAGCAGUGGGAGCACAGAGCAAUCUGUGUGACUGCGUACCUUUUGUAUAAUGGGUCAGCGACUUAUAUUCUGUAGCAAGGUUAACCGAAUAGGGGAGCCGAAGGGAAACCGAGUCUUAACUGGGCGUUAAGUUGCAGGGUAUAGACCCGAAACCCGGUGAUCUAGCCAUGGGCAGGUUGAAGGUUGGGUAACACUAACUGGAGGACCGAACCGACUAAUGUUGAAAAAUUAGCGGAUGACUUGUGGCUGGGGGUGAAAGGCCAAUCAAACCGGGAGAUAGCUGGUUCUCCCCGAAAGCUAUUUAGGUAGCGCCUCGUGAAUUCAUCUCCGGGGGUAGAGCACUGUUUCGGCAAGGGGGUCAUCCCGACUUACCAACCCGAUGCAAACUGCGAAUACCGGAGAAUGUUAUCACGGGAGACACACGGCGGGUGCUAACGUCCGUCGUGAAGAGGGAAACAACCCAGACCGCCAGCUAAGGUCCCAAAGUCAUGGUUAAGUGGGAAACGAUGUGGGAAGGCCCAGACAGCCAGGAUGUUGGCUUAGAAGCAGCCAUCAUUUAAAGAAAGCGUAAUAGCUCACUGGUCGAGUCGGCCUGCGCGGAAGAUGUAACGGGGCUAAACCAUGCACCGAAGCUGCGGCAGCGACGCUUAUGCGUUGUUGGGUAGGGGAGCGUUCUGUAAGCCUGCGAAGGUGUGCUGUGAGGCAUGCUGGAGGUAUCAGAAGUGCGAAUGCUGACAUAAGUAACGAUAAAGCGGGUGAAAAGCCCGCUCGCCGGAAGACCAAGGGUUCCUGUCCAACGUUAAUCGGGGCAGGGUGAGUCGACCCCUAAGGCGAGGCCGAAAGGCGUAGUCGAUGGGAAACAGGUUAAUAUUCCUGUACUUGGUGUUACUGCGAAGGGGGGACGGAGAAGGCUAUGUUGGCCGGGCGACGGUUGUCCCGGUUUAAGCGUGUAGGCUGGUUUUCCAGGCAAAUUCGGAAAACUACGGCUGAGGCGUGAUGACGAGGCACUACGGUGCUGAAGCAACAAAUGCCCU
RNAcentral lists this ribosomal RNA (1570 nucleotides) under Escherichia coli. RNAcentral describes it as "bacterial LSU rRNA". It matches the Rfam family "Bacterial large subunit ribosomal RNA", at positions 1 to 1603 of the family's 2925-position model. The record is from RNAcentral. Lineage: Bacteria; Pseudomonadati; Pseudomonadota; Gammaproteobacteria; Enterobacterales; Enterobacteriaceae.